UACAGAGGUGGCAAGCGUUGUUCGGAAUUACUGGGCGUAAAGGGCGCGUAGGCGGCCUUCUAAGUCAGACGUGAAAUCCCCCGGCUUAACCUGGGAACUGCGUCUGAUACUGGAUGGCUUGAGUUUGGGAGAGGGAUGCGGAAUUCCAGGUGUAGCGGUGAAAUGCGUAGAUAUCUGGAGGAACACCGGUGGCGAAGGCGGCAUCCUGGACCAACACUGACGCUGAGUGAGCGAAAGCCAGGGGAGCAAACGGG
RNAcentral lists this ribosomal RNA (254 nucleotides) under uncultured bacterium. RNAcentral's name for it is "partial 16S ribosomal RNA". It matches the Rfam family "Bacterial small subunit ribosomal RNA", at positions 524 to 776 of the family's 1533-position model. The record is from RNAcentral.